Molecule: long non-coding RNA, 799 nt
Filed under: Homo sapiens (human)
Lineage: Eukaryota; Metazoa; Chordata; Mammalia; Primates; Hominidae
Description: HSALNT0203298
Source: RNAcentral
GUGGAAACACAAGUUCGUGCCCUUUGCAGUAGAGAGGAGCCGGCCCUUCCUUCACCUGUGCGGAACCUGGGAUUCACAGGCCUAGGCAGGAAGCACUCUAGCAGGAACUCUGGCCUAGUGGAGUCUCAGUCACCAUUAAAAUUGUCUGCAAGCCUGAAUUUCUGGGGCCAUGGGAUGGACAAGGACCCCAUCCUUAGCCGAACUAAGUAAAGUCCUACAACAUUUUUGGCGUGCAACGUCGGGGCUUGAGAAGCAGUGAGUGAAAUGGGGACUCAAAACCUCUCACUGUGGGUUCUAAGCCUUUCCAUCCUCGGACUUCCGAGGUUAGAGGAACCAGGCCCCCAACUCCCGUUGCGGCUGGGAGUUGGGAGAAAGGCCCUUACUGGGGACCGACCAACCAGCAGCAGCUCCCUGUCCUUACCUGCUUCAUGCUGGGGCUGGGACGCGUGGCUCAAGGGUCUUCGCAGAGCCAGCUUGCGGUCUUCUCCUUCCCCUACCCCAGCCAAGGGGUUCUACUCCAUUGGACAAUAAUUGAACUAAUCUCCAUGGUGGACGAAUCAGUUGCAUAGGAAUGAGAGGCUCUUCCUCAGGUAUUUUUAAACUGUUUCUUUUCUUUUCUCUCUACCCUGUCGGUAGUUAACUUUUAAAAGUUUCAUUUUCUUUUAGAAGAUGUUGUGCUAGACUAGGGACCUCCAACAUCUAUCACUAUAUUCUCUGGAAAGUUUUGGUUGUGAAAUCAAGCCUCCAUCUUGUAUUACAUCCUGAGGGCAUGGCUUGUAACUCCCCCCGCAGGGCUUUG